This 253-nucleotide ribosomal RNA is filed under the name uncultured bacterium. RNAcentral's name for it is "partial 16S ribosomal RNA". It matches the Rfam family "Bacterial small subunit ribosomal RNA", at positions 524 to 776 of the family's 1533-position model. The record is from RNAcentral.
UACGGAGGGGACUAGCGUUGUUCGGAAUUACUGGGCGUAAAGCGCACGUAGGCGGAUUUGUAAGUCAGGGGUGAAAUCCCGGGGCUCAACCUCGGAACUGCCUUUGAUACUGCAAAUCUCGAGUCCGGAAGAGGUGAGUGGAAUUCCUAGUGUAGAGGUGAAAUUCGUAGAUAUCUGGAGGAACACCGGUGGCGAAGGCGGCAUCCUGGACCAACACUGACACUGAGGAGCGAAAGCCAGGGGAGCAAACGGG